ACUGCCACUAACCUCCGCAUCGUGAAACCCAAGUGCAAAAUGCAUCCCCCCGCAGGACAGCCUACCCUCCCACCCCCAAACCCACACACGACCCUGGUCUGACGGGGCAUCUCUGUGGAGCACAAAGGGGGGUCACCAGGCAGAGAAAGAGCCCCACAGGCACGGAGCCGGCUCCACGGGCGCUUUUCUCCCGCUUUCUUCCUCUCUCAGCUCUUUGUUAAGCUCCCUUUCAGCUGAGCCGGCAGAGCCUGGGUGUUCCGAGCUGACAAUAAUUGCUGCGUCUAGACAGUGUCUGGCGCACACUCGCCACGUCCAUCCCCAAGGCCUGAAAUGCAGGCACAGAGGACUGCUGGAUAGGACUGAGGGCUGUGCCCAUUGUACAGAUUGAAAGAGAACAGCCAGGGUGCUGGGUGCGGCCAAAUGGUUUCCCUGAGCACCUCCCGGGCACACAGCCCGGCCAGGCUGGGAGAGACAGAGGCCAACGUGGGGUUCUCGCCCCAUGAGACCACGGCCUGGAGUGGUGGCAAGUCAGCAGGGGGG
Non-coding RNA from Miniopterus natalensis, 540 nucleotides. Lineage: Eukaryota; Metazoa; Chordata; Mammalia; Chiroptera; Miniopteridae. The record is from RefSeq and is a predicted model, not a curated record.